GGCCGCGGGAAUUCGAUUUUCCGGUUGAUCCUGCCGGAGGUCACUGCUAUCGGGGUUCGAUUAAGCCAUGCGAGUUGAGAGGGUUAAGACCCUCGGCGGACUGCUCAGUAACACGUGGAUAACCUGCCCUAAGGUGGAGGAUAACCCCGGGAAACUGGGGAUAAUACUCCAUAGGUUAAAGGUACUGGAAUGUUCUUUAACCGAAAGUUCCGGCGCCUUAGGAUGGAUCUGCGGCCGAU
Molecule: ribosomal RNA, 239 nt
Filed under: uncultured archaeon
Lineage: Archaea
Description: partial 16S ribosomal RNA
Rfam family: Archaeal small subunit ribosomal RNA
Source: RNAcentral